AUAGGUCACUGGUGAAAUUCACUGGCUCGGCAGGUGACUCAUAGGUCUCCAAGGAAACCGUCAUCUUUAAAUCAGUUUUUUUUAACCGCGCACUUUAACAAUUCAAAGCGUAUGUGUCUGUUUAAGUGAAAGCAAGAAUUUUAAUCCUUUCAAUGAAUUGGCGGGCUUGAACAGAGCAGAUUUGUCCGGAUCUGUAAGUGAAUGCAAGAAUGUUAACCAGUGAAAUGAAUUGCCGGGAUGGAAAAACCCUCUUCACUCUGAGACUAUUGAUGUGGCAUUUCUGUAUAUGGAAGGGACUGAUUUAUAUGUGCGGGAAACAUGGAUUCUAAGAACAGAUAAACAACAGAAAAAGUGAUAAGUGAUGCAAACUCUACAGUUAGAACUUGAAGACUCUUAUAUCAAAGUGAUAUUUUGUAGUGGACAUAGUGAAGUGGAGUGUACUUGAGAAACAUUGAACUUUCUACCUCUUCCUUCUUUUAGUUACAUUCCAUGGAAUACUUUAAUGAAAGUGAAAGUGGCAAAGAAUACACUGUGAUACAUUAUAGGAGGAAAAACGGAUUUGACGAAACAUGGUGAAAUUAAUUGUGUCGUAUAAUCUGGGAAAUAAAAUUACAGAAUUUAAUUAAUUUUG
Molecule: long non-coding RNA, 631 nt
Organism: Saccostrea cuccullata (small rock oyster)
Lineage: Eukaryota; Metazoa; Mollusca; Bivalvia; Ostreida; Ostreidae
Exons: 3
Source: RefSeq, a predicted model, not a curated record